UACAGAGGGUGCGAGCGUUACUCGGAAUUACUGGGCGUAAAGCGCGCGUAGGCGGCUUUGCAAGUCGGGUGUGAAAUCCCCAGGCUUAACCUGGGAACUGCAUUCGAGACUGCAUUGCUAGAGUAUGGGAGAGGGCAGUGGAAUUUCCGGUGUAGCGGUGAAAUGCGUAGAUAUCGGAAGGAACAUCAGUGGCGAAAGCGGCCCACUGGGUCUUUUCUGACGCUGAGGAACGAAAGCUAGGGUAGCGAACGGG
This 253-nucleotide ribosomal RNA is filed under the name uncultured bacterium. RNAcentral describes it as "partial 16S ribosomal RNA". It matches the Rfam family "Bacterial small subunit ribosomal RNA", at positions 524 to 776 of the family's 1533-position model. The record is from RNAcentral.